CACUCCUUUUAGCUGUGAGUUACUAAAAUAGGAAGAAUACAGAGGUUAGCAUGGGGUCUGCACAAGGGUGGUGUGAAAGUUCACAAAGCACUCCAUUUUUUU
This is a small nuclear RNA of Arvicanthis niloticus (Nile rat), 102 nucleotides long. The record is from RefSeq and is a predicted model, not a curated record. Lineage: Eukaryota; Metazoa; Chordata; Mammalia; Rodentia; Muridae.